AUAAAGUAAACCUCCCAAUAGCAGUCUCUCAGUCAACAAAUACCCUUUCGACAUCUAUGAAGGCAAACUUCUGUGCAGACCUCAAGAGGGAGAAGAAGAUACUAGGCAGCUGGGAAGAUGGCGAUGCUAAGCUGCUCUGAGCAGACCUCUGCUGUCUCCAGGAAGAACAAAACACAACAAAUCGAAAUCCACUUGAAAGGAAAAAUUGUAACAAAGUCCAAAAUAGCCGCUUUCCCCCCUGAAGGAAUCUUAAAAGUCGCAUAAGAAAGAUGAAAUGACCAACAAUGGCUCCUGUGGGGAAGCCAAGAAGCAGAUGAUUCAUGAGGGCUUCUUAAUGCUCAACGUUCUCUCUCUACAAACACGGGCCACAUGAAAGUCAGAAGCCACAGGUUAGAGGACACCGGCUCCUGAACUUGUGCUUUUCCAGAAUCAGGAGUCAAGUUACCCUCUUCCUCCAAGAGACACUGUCCACAGCCUACCCAAAUCUACCGCCCAAUUGUGCAGGCAUCUGCUUCUCAUGGGGAGGACUGGAGCUAAGUGAGAGCCGUCAAGCGGUAGGGAAGGUUCUCCCACACUGGCCACUCCACAUGGUGCUGAAACACGCCCAAGAAGACAACGGGACCAAGGCAAGCACAAUGCAGAAGAGAGUCUAUCAUGGCUUCCACAGACGACUUCCUAAUACAGAGUCUUGUUUUUGUAAGCACUGAGUUUAGCUCAAGCAUACCACUCAAGCAAGGCUACCCUUUGAAAAUAUCGUGAUCAAUGAACAUUAUUCUGUAAAAUCCAGGGCAGAAGGAAGAGAGAUGACUGGAUCCUGGAGCACGGAUGAUCUUCUUAGAGCCUUGUAACACUGGGAAGCCCGUACUGAAGACAGCGAAGCAGAGAAGGAAAACAACCAACAAGGAAAUGGAAAGAGUGCACAAACAACUAGUGUCUUAGUAAGAUUUGGG
Alexandromys fortis (reed vole) is the source of this 950-nucleotide long non-coding RNA. RefSeq lists it as uncharacterized. The transcript is spliced from 3 exons. NCBI's taxonomy places the organism in Eukaryota, Metazoa, Chordata, Mammalia, Rodentia, Cricetidae. The record is from RefSeq and is a predicted model, not a curated record.